Molecule: ribosomal RNA, 255 nt
Filed under: uncultured bacterium
Lineage: Bacteria
Description: partial 16S ribosomal RNA
Source: RNAcentral
CUGCUGCCUCCCGUAGGAGUCUGGUCCGUGUCUCAGUACCAGUGUGGGGGACCUUCCUCUCAGAACCCCUACGCAUCGUCGCCUCGGUGGGCCGUUACCCCGCCGACUAGCUAAUGCGACGCAUGGCCAUCCUAUGCCGGAGUCGCCUCCUUUGACCAUCUGGAGAUGUCUCCAAAUGGUGUUAUGCGGUAUUAGACGGAAUUUCUUCCGCUUAUCCCCCUGCAUAGGGCAGGUUCCAUACGUGUUACUCACCCG